AUUUUGUGAUGGGGACACUUCCUCAAUAGUGACUUAAAUCGAUCCCAAGCUUCGUGUAAAUUUUCACCUUCCAAUUGCUUGAAAUUGGCGAUCUCAUGGCGGAGUU
Gossypium raimondii (Peruvian cotton) is the source of this 106-nucleotide non-coding RNA. Lineage: Eukaryota; Viridiplantae; Streptophyta; Magnoliopsida; Malvales; Malvaceae. The record is from Rfam.